RNAcentral lists this long non-coding RNA (290 nucleotides) under Populus trichocarpa (black cottonwood). RNAcentral describes it as "long non-coding RNA (PTRI_LNC001215)". The record is from RNAcentral. Lineage: Eukaryota; Viridiplantae; Streptophyta; Magnoliopsida; Malpighiales; Salicaceae.
AGUGAGUUUAUUCCAAGUAUCUUUUGUUUACUGCUAUGUAUUGCAAAAUAUAUUAUAGGCUUUUUUUCUUCCUUUUAAAAUUUUGCAUUGCUAAUUUUUUAGUCAAACUGUAAUAUGUUGCUAAUUUGCUAGUGUUUUUUUUUAGCAUUAUCCUUGCUGGAUCUUUUGGCUUUUGCUGUUGCUGGAAGUUUUGGAUGUUGUUGCUGGUGCUGGAUUUUUUUCUUCAAAUUAUACUGAAUGUUUAUGAUAAUUUAUUACUUGUUGCUAUUUGCUAAUGUAUUUAUUCGCUA